AAGGCCCAGACAGCCAGGAUGUUGGCUUAGAAGCAGCCAUCAUUUAAAGAAAGCGUAAUAGCUCACUGGUCGAGUCGGCCUGCGCGGAAGAUGUAACGGGGCUAAACCAUGCACCGAAGCUGCGGCAGCGACACUAUGUGUUGUUGGGUAGGGGAGCGUUCUGUAAGCCGUUGAAGGUGGCCUGUGAGGGUUGCUGGAGGUAUCAGAAGUGCGAAUGCUGACAUAAGUAACGAUAAUGCGGGUGAAAAACCCGCACGCCGGAAGACCAAGGGUUCCUGUCCAACGUUAAUCGGGGCAGGGUGAGUCGACCCCUAAGGCGAGGCCGAAAGGCGUAGUCGAUGGGAAACAGGUUAAUAUUCCUGUACUUGGUGUUACUGCGAAGGGGGGACGGAGAAGGCUAUGUUGGCCGGGCGACGGUUGUCCCGGUUUAAGCAUGUAGGCGGAUG
RNAcentral lists this ribosomal RNA (446 nucleotides) under Klebsiella oxytoca. Its description in RNAcentral is "partial 23S ribosomal RNA". It matches the Rfam family "Bacterial large subunit ribosomal RNA", at positions 1080 to 1530 of the family's 2925-position model. Lineage: Bacteria; Pseudomonadati; Pseudomonadota; Gammaproteobacteria; Enterobacterales; Enterobacteriaceae. The record is from RNAcentral.